GAGCCAACAGCCAGCGAGAGGAAGAGCUUGAGCGGAGAGAGGGAAUCGCUCCCCGAGGAGGUGAACCUGGCGUGUGGAAUUGAUGAAGGCACUUGAAGAUGCUGGGGGGCAGGGCAUCAUAGCAACAGAGAAUGAGCUAUGAUGGUGGCUUUGACUCUGAGAAAGCAGGAUUCCAGAUAAAGAAAAAAGGAGA
Mastomys coucha (southern multimammate mouse) is the source of this 193-nucleotide long non-coding RNA. RefSeq lists it as uncharacterized. The record is from RefSeq and is a predicted model, not a curated record. The transcript is spliced from 2 exons. Lineage: Eukaryota; Metazoa; Chordata; Mammalia; Rodentia; Muridae.